This 497-nucleotide ribosomal RNA is filed under the name uncultured bacterium. Its description in RNAcentral is "partial 16S ribosomal RNA". It matches the Rfam family "Bacterial small subunit ribosomal RNA", at positions 28 to 507 of the family's 1533-position model. The record is from RNAcentral.
GAUGAACGCUGGCGGCGUGCCUAAUACAUGCGAGUCGAGCGAACGGACGAGAAGCUUGCUUCUCUGAUGUUAGCGGCGGACGGGUGAGUAACACGUGGAUAACCUACCUAUAAGACUGGGAUAACUUCGGGAAACCGGAGCUAAUACCGGAUAAUAUUUUGAACCGCAUGGUUCAAAAAUGAAAGACGGUCUUGCUGUCACUUAUAGAUGGAUCCGCGCUGCAUUAGCUAGUUGGUAAGGUAACGGCUUACCAAGGCAACGAUGCAUAGCCGACCUGAGAGGGUGAUCGGCCACACUGGAACUGAGACACGGUCCAGACUCCUACGGGAGGCAGCAGUAGGGAAUCUUCCGCAAUGGGCGAAAGCCUGACGGAGCAACGCCGCGUGAGUGAUGAAGGUCUUCGGAUCGUAAAACUCUGUUAUUAGGGAAGAACAUAUGUGUAAGUAACUGUGCACAUCUUGACGGUACCUAAUCAGAAAGCCACGGCUAACUACGUG